GAUGAACGCUGGCGGCGUGCCUAACACAUGCAAGUCGAACGGGAAUCUUCCGGAUUCUAGUGGCGGACGGGUGAGUAACGCGUAAGAAUCUAACUUCGAGGACUGGGACAACAGUUGGAAACGACUGCUAAUACCCGAUGUGCCGCAAGGUUGAAACCUAAUUGGCCUGGAGAAGAGCUUGCGUCUGAUUAGCUAGUUGGUGGGGUAAGAGCCUACCAAGGCGACGAUCAGUAGCUGGUCUGAGAGGAUGAGCAGCCACACUGGGACUGAGACACGGCCCAGACUCCUACGGGAGGCAGCAGUGGGGGAAUUUUCCGCAAUGGGCGAAAGCCUGACGGAGCAAUACCGCGUGAGGGACGAAGGCUUUUUGGGUCGUAAAACCUCUUUUUAUUAGGGGAAGAUAAUGACGGUACCUAAUGAAUAAGCAUCGGCUAACUCUGUGCCAGCAGCCGCGGUAAU
This 459-nucleotide ribosomal RNA is filed under the name uncultured cyanobacterium. RNAcentral's name for it is "bacterial SSU rRNA". It matches the Rfam family "Bacterial small subunit ribosomal RNA", at positions 28 to 524 of the family's 1533-position model. Lineage: Bacteria; Bacillati; Cyanobacteriota. The record is from RNAcentral.